UUCAAACUUGUGUGAUACUGGAAGUAAUUAUAUAAUCAUGCCUAAUCAGUGUAUGUAACUAAUGAAUAUAUGGACAUCUAUUAACAUUGGAACACAUGUUAUGUUGUUGUUUAUGCAGGAUCAACUGUAGCUAUUAAGUUGGAGAGUGUCACUACAAGAACAGCAUUGUUGAAGGAUGUUCGGCAGUUGUCCCCACAGCAUCAGACCUUUUCCCUGGAGGCCUUUCACUCGCUUAUCCUCCACUUUGCACCUAAGCACACUGGCUUCUCCUUCCUUGGGAUGUACAGCAGGCUUCUCUUGGCAGCCCUGCAUUACAACCACAAUGGAAGUCGAGAGGUUGCACGAACACAUGACGGCGAGGUUCAAUAUGGAGUUCGUUACCCAAGGUUCCGCAAAGGAGGCUGGGUCGUCCGCCCUGUCAAGGAGAAGCCAUCGUACGCUUAUGCAUCUGCCCUUAUGGAG
Molecule: long non-coding RNA, 462 nt
Organism: Gadus chalcogrammus (walleye pollock)
Lineage: Eukaryota; Metazoa; Chordata; Actinopteri; Gadiformes; Gadidae
Exons: 3
Source: RefSeq, a predicted model, not a curated record